GAGGUACCAUAGCACUUUAUCGUCUGUUGAAUGAAGUUAGAACACGAGACCAUGCCUUGAAUUCUGACCAUUUAUCUGUGUUGCAGCUGGUGAUGGGAACAAUGAGAGAUCUGCACAAGUUUUACCCUGAAAUCAUACCCAGAAGUCAACUGUAUGAAAUUAAGGGAUCACCUAUCGAUAAGGUUUUCUAUUUAGUUCCAUCAUGACCUCUCCAUGGCAGUUUUUGGAUGCAAUUCUUUUAAGAUUUCGAAGCUGAUCAUCUAAAUGCAUGCUCAAACAGGUUCUGAAAUAUUUUUGUGAGGCUUUGAGAUCAAUUGGGGAUUCAUGGAUGAUGAAUCAAGAGUGGAUGGACAAAGCUACAUACAACAUGUACAAUAACAGUGAUCAAAGGAUCAGUUCGGAACAAGCAGGUAUGAUACAACUUUUCCAGAAUUUAAUCAGCAGUAUAUUUUUAUCCACGUUUUCGGAUCUUGUAAGAAAAAAAAAAUGGAACAAGUUGAUCGAAAGAAUUUCGGAAAGAGUGGAUUUUACUGAAGAGCUUGUUUUUUUCCAUUUAAUAUCUCCUUGUACAACUAGUCUGAAGUUUCAUGAUUGAAGGUGAUUACUUCUCUAUAUUUUUUUCCUUUUUUUUUCUGAAUUUUUAGUUGAAAUUGCUUCGGCAACACUCACCUGCAUGAUUAAGAUAGCAAGAGAAAUGUUUGAUGUGAUGGAUGAAUAUGAGCCAAAUAAAGACAUUCAACGAUCCAACGCCUUCAGCAAAAUGUUGAUGGAAUCCUCUUCAGACAAC
Molecule: long non-coding RNA, 787 nt
Filed under: Populus tremula
Lineage: Eukaryota; Viridiplantae; Streptophyta; Magnoliopsida; Malpighiales; Salicaceae
Description: long non-coding RNA (PTRE_LNC002118)
Source: RNAcentral